Molecule: transfer RNA, 74 nt
Filed under: Candidatus Sphingobacterium stercoripullorum
Lineage: Bacteria; Pseudomonadati; Bacteroidota; Sphingobacteriia; Sphingobacteriales; Sphingobacteriaceae
Also listed under: 1 other name
Description: tRNA-Gln
Rfam family: tRNA
About the family: Transfer RNA (tRNA) molecules are approximately 80 nucleotides in length. Their secondary structure includes four short double-helical elements and three loops (D, anti-codon, and T loops).
Source: RNAcentral
UGCCCGAUAGUAUAAAGGUAGUACAAAUGGUUUUGGUUCAUUUAGUUCAGGUUCGAAUCCUGGUCGGGCAACCA